This is a long non-coding RNA of Gastrolobium bilobum, 710 nucleotides long. RefSeq lists it as uncharacterized. The transcript has 3 exons. The record is from RefSeq and is a predicted model, not a curated record. NCBI's taxonomy places the organism in Eukaryota, Viridiplantae, Streptophyta, Magnoliopsida, Fabales, Fabaceae.
CCUCAACUCCCUAAAAAUUUUCCACCUGCUUAAGAUUUCAAUCUCAGCUAUAUAAUCUUACCAGGUCUCUUUUACGGCUGGAGUUCGAAUUUGAGGUGGAUUUUGCCUUUCAAAAUCUCUGAAAACAAUUAUUAUGGCAGCGAAUACUUUGUCCACAAGAGGAACAACUAGGCACGGAAAAUAUGCUCUUGGAUCGCUUGAUGAUAGAGAUAUGUUUAUAUGUUCAAAAGACCUUGCAUUGGAACCUUGCAAUAAGAAGUCAUCCCACCAAACACUUCAUAAUCAAAUGCUGAAAGUCCACAACUUAAGGAAUGCUAGUGCUCAAAGUCCACAGAUUAUAAUUUUCACUGGACAGGGUGACAACAUUCCUCCCCCUUUGAUGACAUUUGAUGCAACUGGAUUUCCUCCAGAGAUAUUGAAGGAGGUAAGUUUAUUCUCUCCUGUUAUAUGUAAUAACUUGUUUUUGUAAUUCGCGAAGUACAGCUUCAUGGCAUGUCAGUAGAUGUUGGUGUUUCUGCUUAUGUCUAAAAGGCAUGUUUUCUCAGCGUUGACUGUUUAGUAUAUGUAGUGCACAAAAAGACAUUGUUGACGGCUGUUGAGUACUGUUUGUAUAAUGUUUCAAAUGCUUAAGACUAGUAACAUAAAUAUCCUUUAUUAUGGUUAUUUUAAAUGUAGAAAUAACAACUGAGGAUAAACUUUUCAUUGUUAUA